Molecule: ribosomal RNA, 518 nt
Filed under: Drosophila kikkawai
Lineage: Eukaryota; Metazoa; Arthropoda; Insecta; Diptera; Drosophilidae
Description: partial 16S ribosomal RNA
Rfam family: Bacterial large subunit ribosomal RNA (bases 269-428)
Source: RNAcentral
AUGGUUGGACGAAAUAUUAACUGUUUCAUUUAAAAUUAAAAUAGAAUUUUAUUUUUUAGUCAAAAAGCUAAAAUAAAUUUAAAAGACGAGAAGACCCUAUAAAUCUUUAUAUUUUGUUUAUUUUAAUUAUAAAGAUUAAUUUAAUUUUAAUAAAUUAAAAUAUUUUAUUGGGGUGAUAUUAAAAUUUAAAAAACUUUUAAUUUUUAAAAACAUUAAUUUAUGAAUAAUUGAUCCAUUAAUAAUGAUUAAAAAAUUAAGUUACUUUAGGGAUAACAGCGUAAUUUUUUUGGAGAGUUCAUAUCGAUAAAAAAGAUUGCGACCUCGAUGUUGGAUUAAGAUAUAAUUUUGGGUGUAGCCGUUCAAAUUUUAAGUCUGUUCGACUUUUAAAUUCUUACAUGAUCUGAGUUCAAACCGGUGUAAGCCAGGUUGGUUUCUAUCUUUAAAAAUUUGUAAUAUUUUAGUACGAAAGGACCAAAUAUUAAAAUAAUUAUAUUUAAAAUAAUGAAUAUUAUUAAUAU